Oxyura jamaicensis (ruddy duck) is the source of this 649-nucleotide long non-coding RNA. RefSeq lists it as uncharacterized. NCBI's taxonomy places the organism in Eukaryota, Metazoa, Chordata, Aves, Anseriformes, Anatidae. The transcript has 4 exons. The record is from RefSeq and is a predicted model, not a curated record.
AGAGCUCUGAAAGUGCUCUUAGAUAAUGUAAAAGAUAAAUGAAACUAGCCUUGUGGUGAGAAGGUCUUAAGAUUUUGGCAGAAUUUUAAAAAAUAUAUUUGAAGCCUCCAAUUCCUCUUCACUGUUACAGAUAAAGUCGCCAAACCCUUAACGGAAGAAGGGACUCUAACAAAGAAAGCUUUGGAAGAUACAAACUUGUUAGUACUUUCCUUUUUCCAGUGCAAAAUAAGGGCCCAGGAGCACUAGGAAUUUGAACACAAAAAGUAUAUCCUUCCUAAUGAAGCAGGUGGUCCUUAUUCAUACCCCUGCAGCUCUGUAGUAAUGAUGUCACUGAAUUGAUCUUCAAGAUUUCAUUUGAACAUGUCUUUGUCAGGGACUGCUUCCACUGACAGAAGGAACUGCUGCCAGAACUGAUUAUCUGCAGGCCUGGAGGUUGAAGACAGAGAAGGAAUACAGCAUACAACAUGUUAAGUAAAUGUAUUAAAUGUUUGUGCUCAAUGCAAUAACUUGAUUACUGAAACUGUAGGAAAUAAAUUAUACAAGCAAUCAGAUCAAAGAUACAGUAAUUCUGUAAGGAAUAUAUCCAAAGUGUAGAUUGGAUGCCCAACAGGUAAGUCUCAGUAAACACUAUUAAAAUAUCAUUUCCUUU